RNAcentral lists this ribosomal RNA (460 nucleotides) under uncultured bacterium. RNAcentral's name for it is "partial 16S ribosomal RNA". It matches the Rfam family "Bacterial small subunit ribosomal RNA", at positions 338 to 795 of the family's 1533-position model. The record is from RNAcentral.
CCUACGGGAGGCAGCAGUGAGGAAUAUUGGUCAAUGGGCUUACGCCUGAACCAGCCAAGUCGCGGGAGGGAAGACUGCCCUAUGGGUUGUAAACCUCUUUUGUCAGGGAGCAACGCCGGCUACGUGUAGCCGGACUGAGAGUACCUGAAGAAAAAGCAUCGGCUAACUCCGUGCCAGCAGCCGCGGUAAUACGGAGGAUGCGAGCGUUAUCCGGAUUGAUUGGGUUUAAAGGGUGCGUAGGCGGAAUGCCAAGUCCGCGGUAAAAUCGCGGGGCUCAACCUCGCUCCGCCGUUGAAACUGGCGUUCUUGAGUGGGCGAGAAGUAUGCGGAAUGCGUGGUGUAGCGGUGAACUGCAUAGAUAUCACGCAGAACUCCGAUUGCGACGGCAGCAUACCGGCUCCCAACUGCCGCUGAAGCACGAAAGCGUGUGUCUCGAACCGGAUUCGAUCCUCCUGUAGUC